UACAGAGGGGGCGAGCGUUAUUCGGAAUUAUUGGGCGUAAAGGGCGCGUAGGCGGCCAAACAAGUGACGGGUGAAAUCCCUCGGCUUAACCGAGGAACUGCCUGUCAGACUGUUUGGCUUGAGACCGGGAGAGGUGAGUGGAAUUCCCAGUGUAGCGGUGAAAUGCGUAGAUAUUGGGAGGAACACCAGUGGCGAAGGCGGCUCACUGGACCGGAACUGACGCUGAGGCGCGAAAGCGUGGGGAGCAAACAGG
RNAcentral lists this ribosomal RNA (253 nucleotides) under uncultured bacterium. RNAcentral's name for it is "partial 16S ribosomal RNA". It matches the Rfam family "Bacterial small subunit ribosomal RNA", at positions 524 to 776 of the family's 1533-position model. The record is from RNAcentral.